RNAcentral lists this ribosomal RNA (1554 nucleotides) under Escherichia coli. RNAcentral's name for it is "bacterial SSU rRNA". It matches the Rfam family "Bacterial small subunit ribosomal RNA". The record is from RNAcentral. Lineage: Bacteria; Pseudomonadati; Pseudomonadota; Gammaproteobacteria; Enterobacterales; Enterobacteriaceae.
AAAUUGAAGAGUUUGAUCAUGGCUCAGAUUGAACGCUGGCGGCAGGCCUAACACAUGCAAGUCGAACGGUAACAGAAAGCAGCUUGCUGCUUUGCUGACGAGUGGCGGACGGGUGAGUAAUGUCUGGGAAACUGCCUGAUGGAGGGGGAUAACUACUGGAAACGGUAGCUAAUACCGCAUAAUGUCGCAAGACCAAAGAGGGGGACCUUCGGGCCUCUUGCCAUCGGAUGUGCCCAGAUGGGAUUAGCUUGUUGGUGGGGUAACGGCUCACCAAGGCGACGAUCCCUAGCUGGUCUGAGAGGAUGACCAGCCACACUGGAACUGAGACACGGUCCAGACUCCUACGGGAGGCAGCAGUGGGGAAUAUUGCACAAUGGGCGCAAGCCUGAUGCAGCCAUGCCGCGUGUAUGAAGAAGGCCUUCGGGUUGUAAAGUACUUUCAGCGGGGAGGAAGGGAGUAAAGUUAAUACCUUUGCUCAUUGACGUUACCCGCAGAAGAAGCACCGGCUAACUCCGUGCCAGCAGCCGCGGUAAUACGGAGGGUGCAAGCGUUAAUCGGAAUUACUGGGCGUAAAGCGCACGCAGGCGGUUUGUUAAGUCAGAUGUGAAAUCCCCGGGCUCAACCUGGGAACUGCAUCUGAUACUGGCAAGCUUGAGUCUCGUAGAGGGGGGUAGAAUUCCAGGUGUAGCGGUGAAAUGCGUAGAGAUCUGGAGGAAUACCGGUGGCGAAGGCGGCCCCCUGGACGAAGACUGACGCUCAGGUGCGAAAGCGUGGGGAGCAAACAGGAUUAGAUACCCUGGUAGUCCACGCCGUAAACGAUGUCGACUUGGAGGUUGUGCCCUUGAGGCGUGGCUUCCGGAGCUAACGCGUUAAGUCGACCGCCUGGGGAGUACGGCCGCAAGGUUAAAACUCAAAUGAAUUGACGGGGGCCCGCACAAGCGGUGGAGCAUGUGGUUUAAUUCGAUGCAACGCGAAGAACCUUACCUGGUCUUGACAUCCACAGAACUUUCCAGAGAUGGAUUGGUGCCUUCGGGAACUGUGAGACAGGUGCUGCAUGGCUGUCGUCAGCUCGUGUUGUGAAAUGUUGGGUUAAGUCCCGCAACGAGCGCAACCCUUAUCCUUUGUUGCCAGCGGUCCGGCCGGGAACUCAAAGGAGACUGCCAGUGAUAAACUGGAGGAAGGUGGGGAUGACGUCAAGUCAUCAUGGCCCUUACGACCAGGGCUACACACGUGCUACAAUGGCGCAUACAAAGAGAAGCGACCUCGCGAGAGCAAGCGGACCUCAUAAAGUGCGUCGUAGUCCGGAUUGGAGUCUGCAACUCGACUCCAUGAAGUCGGAAUCGCUAGUAAUCGUGGAUCAGAAUGCCACGGUGAAUACGUUCCCGGGCCUUGUACACACCGCCCGUCACACCAUGGGAGUGGGUUGCAAAAGAAGUAGGUAGCUUAACCUUCGGGAGGGCGCUUACCACUUUGUGAUUCAUGACUGGGGUGAAGUCGUAACAAGGUAACCGUAGGGGAACCUGCGGUUGGAUCACCUCCUUACCUUAAAGAAGC